AGUCCAUGAUAUGGACAUUUUAGCAUCAUCUCCUUAAGUCGCUCUCAUGCUUCGAACAAUGAUUAUCUAUCCAUCUUCCUAAAGUAGGUGAUUUAGUUCCUGAAUU
Lathyrus oleraceus (garden pea) is the source of this 106-nucleotide small nucleolar RNA. NCBI's taxonomy places the organism in Eukaryota, Viridiplantae, Streptophyta, Magnoliopsida, Fabales, Fabaceae. The record is from RefSeq and is a predicted model, not a curated record.